ACGGGAGGCAGCAGUGGGGAAUAUUGGGCAAUGGGGGCAACCCUGACCCAGCAACGCCGCGUGAAGGAAGAAGGCUUUCGGGUUGUAAACUUCUUUGACGAGGGACGAACCAAAUGGCGGUACCUCGAAAACAAGCCACGGCUAACUACGUGCCAGCAGCCGCGGUAAUACGUAGGUGGCGAGCGUUGUCCGGAUUUACUGGGUGUAAAGGGCGCGUAGGUGGGUGUGCAAGUCAAAUGUGAAAUACCAAGGCUUAACCUUGGGGCUGCAUUUGAAACUGUGCAUCUUGAGUAUCGGAGGGGCAAGCGGAAUUCCUAGCGUAGCGGUGAAAUGCGUAGAUAUUAGGAAGAACACCGGUGGCGAAGGCGGCUUGCUGGACUGUAACUGACACUGAGGCUCGAAGGCGUGGGGAGCAAACAGGAUUAGAUACCCUGGUA
This 437-nucleotide ribosomal RNA is filed under the name uncultured Oscillospiraceae bacterium. Its description in RNAcentral is "partial 16S ribosomal RNA". It matches the Rfam family "Bacterial small subunit ribosomal RNA", at positions 341 to 792 of the family's 1533-position model. Lineage: Bacteria; Bacillati; Bacillota; Clostridia; Eubacteriales; Oscillospiraceae. The record is from RNAcentral.